This 84-nucleotide transfer RNA is filed under the name Novimethylophilus kurashikiensis. RNAcentral's name for it is "tRNA-Leu". It matches the Rfam family "tRNA". Rfam says of the family: Transfer RNA (tRNA) molecules are approximately 80 nucleotides in length. The record is from RNAcentral. Lineage: Bacteria; Pseudomonadati; Pseudomonadota; Betaproteobacteria; Nitrosomonadales; Methylophilaceae.
GUCCCGGUGGCGGAAUUUGGUAGACGCGCCGUUCUCAAAAAUCGGUUCGAAAGAGUGCGGGUUCGAAUCCCGCCUGGGACACCA